CGAGUGAAGCGGCAACAGCUCAAAUUUGAAAGCUGGCCCUUUUAGGGUCCGCAUUGUAAUUUGUAGAGGAUGAUUCGGCGAGGGCUCCUGCCUAAGUCCCCUGGAACGGGGCGUCAUAGAGGGUGAGAAUCCCGUAUGCGGUAGGUUGCCUUAGCCAUGUGAAUCUCCUUCGACGAGUCGAGUUGUUUGGGAAUGCAGCUCUAAAUGGGAGGUAAAUUUCUUCUAAAGCUAAAUACCGGCCAGAGACCGAUAGCGCACAAGUAGAGUGAUCGAAAGAUGAAAAGCACUUUGGAAAGAGAGUUAAAAAGUACGUGAAAUUGUUGAAAGGGAAGCGCUUGCAACCAGACUUGUCCGCAGUUGCUCAGCCGGUCUCCUGACCGGCGUACUCUUCUGCGGCCAGGCCAGCAUCAGUUCGGGCGGUCGGAUAAAGGCCUCGGGAAUGUGGCUCCUCUCGGGGAGUGUUAUAGCCCGGGGUGCAAUGCGGCCAGCCUGGACUGAGGAACUCGCUUCGGCAAGGAUGCUGGCGUAAUGGUUGUAAGCGGCCCGUCUUGAAACACGGACC
This 562-nucleotide ribosomal RNA is filed under the name Lasiodiplodia theobromae. RNAcentral's name for it is "eukaryotic LSU rRNA". It matches the Rfam family "Eukaryotic large subunit ribosomal RNA", at positions 90 to 667 of the family's 3401-position model. Lineage: Eukaryota; Fungi; Ascomycota; Dothideomycetes; Botryosphaeriales; Botryosphaeriaceae. The record is from RNAcentral.